Salmo salar (Atlantic salmon) is the source of this 856-nucleotide long non-coding RNA. RefSeq lists it as uncharacterized. NCBI's taxonomy places the organism in Eukaryota, Metazoa, Chordata, Actinopteri, Salmoniformes, Salmonidae. The record is from RefSeq and is a predicted model, not a curated record.
CAGAGAAGCUGGAUAACAGUUAUCCAGAUAUCAAUAUUUGGCAAGCUGUUAUAAAGCGAUAUUGAAUUCAGCUAAUGCUUGAUAUGACAUGUUGUUAUACAGUAUGAUAUGGCUCCACUUCCAUAGGAUAGUAGGUUUCUCUUCAUAUCAUGAUGCAGGGAAAUGCCUGUACCAUAGCAAGAGUAGCUCUUACUGAAUAGAUAUGACACCUUACGUAAGGUACAAUAAGUUUGUUUUUACGGUUGUUCUUUUUCUGACUUAUUGACCAUGCUAAACCAAGUCACCCUUAUCAGUGGACCUUCAGCACUCUCAAUCUGAACAAUGUGCAAAGUUUCAGUCUUUACUAUACUAACCUACACAGUAUCACUGGAGAGUGUAUUGGAAUCUGUUUCCCUGUGAGCAGAAACCCUACAGAGAGAGGACUGCAGGGAUCUGUGGUAAUAAACUUGGCUCAAGAUGCAGAAAGCAGAUGCCGGGGUUGAGAAGGGGCCAACACAUGCUGGAGAUCAUGGAGGGAACAGGACGGGGCUGUGGAUGAAGAGAGAGAGAAAUGUUUGCCUUUUGGAGCUCUGUGUGAACCUUCUCUGGGGUUAUUGAUGGGCCCCGCCUCCUCCCCCGGCUCCAUAAAUCUCAGAGAAAUGACCCCUGCCUGGUGGAGGGCCAGACACUCUGCAAUCGGGCCCGAGCCUGAUGACAGCUUUAGCUGCUGCUGAAGUGGACAGCUCCAGUUUCUGUUUAGCCAUAUAUAGACUGGCCUCACUAAAACAUGUCCUCGCUGGCCACCUAAAGAGUCAACCUUAUGAUCAUGACAAAUAACAGAUUUCCCUGUCUGAUGUAGAUUAAAUGGUAAUCACUG